AAAUUAAAAACCAAUUGUUCAGAGAACAAUUGAAGGUCUUUCCACCAAUAAGGAUCUAUUUUGAUAUGAAAAUAUUAAAAUUCAGUUGAAAAUGUCAGUUCCUAUGGCUUAAUGAUGUAUAAAUAUGAAUUUUGAGCAAAGGUCAAAAUCUAGAACGUCAAAUUUACUGAUGACCUUGACCUAUAUUUCAAGGUCAUAAACCAGGGACCCCAAAUAAAAAGACCCUAGGUCUGUAAUAUGUAUAGUUAAUGAGUUAUAUCACUUUACGUUUAAUUCUUAAUAUAGGAGGGGCAAAAACUCCCAUUUUAUGUCUACACACCCUUUUAACCAAAAUAUAUAAGUUACGACAUGUCGCAACUAACAAUUUAGUAAAAAUAAUUUGUCGGUAUCUUAUAAGGUUAAUGAAAAUUAGUGAAAAUAGGCCAAAAUCAAAAUUUAGAAUAUGACCUUGACCUUUGACCUUUACCUAAUUUUCAUUUUUUUUGGACCAAUGAUCUCAAAACAAAAGACCCUAGGUCUCUAUCACUUAUGGUUUUCCAGUUUAGAAUACAUUUCAAAAUUUCAAAUACAAAAGGGGAA
Molecule: long non-coding RNA, 579 nt
Filed under: Mytilus galloprovincialis (Mediterranean mussel)
Lineage: Eukaryota; Metazoa; Mollusca; Bivalvia; Mytilida; Mytilidae
Source: RNAcentral